Pseudomyrmex gracilis is the source of this 1856-nucleotide long non-coding RNA. RefSeq lists it as uncharacterized. The transcript is spliced from 3 exons. The record is from RefSeq and is a predicted model, not a curated record. Lineage: Eukaryota; Metazoa; Arthropoda; Insecta; Hymenoptera; Formicidae.
CUAUUGUAUUUAUUACAAAAAACGUAGAGAAAUACUAAAAUAGUUUUUUGCAAACAACUGACUCACAUGUUACGAGACAAUUUUCUUUCGUUCUGCUUUCUCAUUCGCUGAACCUCUCGAACCACGAAACAUGAUAAUUUAAUUUAAUCACUUGCAAUCAAGUCAAUAAGUUCUCCUACAUCGAAAUACGGUACUUAAGGUUAUCGGAGCUUAGUCCUCCCAAACUCAAUAAUUAUCGGCACUAAGAGGGCUGUCAUUAAGAUAAUAUGCCUUAAUUAAUAUUAAACUCUAGAUAUUUUUAGAUGACUACUCGUACGAUUCUACGUUUGACGUUAUAGCCUGAAAAAUAAAAUGUACAGUACUGGCUUGACAAUAUGACAGUAUUAACAAGAUAGUCAAUUUUCUUCAUGUAACCGACAUGUAUUCUCCUGUUAGUAGAAUAAGUUUUUCUCGUAGUCGGGAAAGCAUAUUUGCGAACUGCUGUAUCAUCUGGACACACUCGAAGCCGCAUUAUGCAGAUGUUUUUUGAGAUUUUCAGGUCUGUGACCGAUCGGAGUGAAUCAGCCCGUGUGUUCGUAUUUUUCGUCAUAUAUUUCAUAAAUAUCUGGAUCAUGGAGUUGAGCUACCUGUUCGAAUGCGACAUACUAGAGUGCGUCAUCACGGAUUUAUCGGAGAACAUUUUAUUUCUGAUACUGACCGGAAAGAUAGUGAUAAUGAGACGAGGCUGCGAUAUACUGAGCAAAUUUCUGAAAAUCAUCGAAAUCGUGAUUUCACGACCGAGGCCUACCACAACGUACAAGAGAAGACCGUGUACUUACGGUACAACAAGAUCGGCUUGAAAUUCAUCAAGAUUUCGAUGGGUAUUACAAUAGUGGCGGCUACAAUAUAUUACUUGCAAACAUUCUUGGAAAAUUGGAGUUCAAGUGAAAUAUUACGUUCGAAGAAAUAAAAUUUUAUUUACUCGUGUUAAAUCAGCACCAGAGUUCUUUUGAUAAAACUCCAACAGUUGAUCUGUCAUGUUUACUCAUUCAUUUUUUUGACAAUUAGCAAUGUUUAAAAACAUUAUUCAAUAUUUAAGUAAAAAGUGAAAUUUGUUUACUUUCGUAAAUACAUGGUUCCAGAGAUCUAAUGAUAAAAACGAGCUUUCUAAGAAAAGGAGAAAUGCGUAUCGUUAUCUUUCUUAGAAAACGAAUAUAUGAAAUGUUUUUUCAAAAUUACUGUAAAUUAUGGUGCACUAAAUUACUCACACUGUUUCGUUUCGUAUCUUUUUAAUCAACUUGUGCACAUAUUAUUGAGAAAUAAUUCGGCAAUCGCUAGUACGACCCGCGUGUACGUUGCCGCUUAUUGCUCAGAAACGACGAGCCGCGAGUGUUAGAAGGGAAACAGAAUGAAACACGAGAUUUGUUCGCGCGCGGAAAUUAUUAUACAAAAACAAAGAAUACAAUAAACUUGCGACACAUGUAUUUGUGACUAAAUAGUAACAGUCGAGCGAGAACACUCAUCAGUGAUUACUUUUCCGAACGUAUCACUACUUUGUUUUUUGUAUAAAGUGAAAUAUCUCUGAAGUACAUUUAAUGCUGCGUACAGACUGUGAGACAAUUGUAGUCAAAAAAAUCCACAAGUUUAAAAUCAGUGAGGAAAAAUAAGAGUCAUACUUACACAAAGAUCAACGUGUAUGCAACUGCGGUCUAAGUCUGUUUACUCGCACUACUGCGCGCUACUGCACUACUGUAAGAAAUUCACUUUUUCACUGGCGAAUUACUGACAAUCAAUUAUUAAGCGGCAGAGAACGCUUUAAUGAGAUGUUUCAAGUACGGAUCUUAAGAGGAUGCUGAACCAGCGGAUUAACAGCUGCU